UUUGGCCUACGGGGCGCAGCAGUCGGGAAUAUUGCGCAAUGGAGGAAACUCUGACGCAGUGACGCCGCGUGCAGGAAGAAGGUUUUCGGAUUGUAAACUGCUUUAGACAGGGAAGAAACAAGACAGUACCUGUAGAAUAAGCUCCGGCUAACUACGUGCCAGCAGCCGCGGUAAUACGGAGGAUGCGAGCGUUAUCCGGAUUUAUUGGGUUUAAAGGGUGCGCAGGCGGUCUGUUAAGUCAGCGGUCAAAGCCCGGGGCUCAACCCCGGCCCGCCGUUGAAACUGGCAGUCUCGAGUUGGAGAAA
Molecule: ribosomal RNA, 305 nt
Filed under: uncultured bacterium
Lineage: Bacteria
Description: bacterial SSU rRNA
Rfam family: Bacterial small subunit ribosomal RNA
Source: RNAcentral